This 1158-nucleotide ribosomal RNA is filed under the name Escherichia coli. RNAcentral describes it as "bacterial SSU rRNA". It matches the Rfam family "Bacterial small subunit ribosomal RNA", at positions 370 to 1520 of the family's 1533-position model. Lineage: Bacteria; Pseudomonadati; Pseudomonadota; Gammaproteobacteria; Enterobacterales; Enterobacteriaceae. The record is from RNAcentral.
AAUGGGGGCAACCCUGACCGAGCAACGCCGCGUGAGUGAAGAAGGUUUUCGGAUCGUAAAGCUCUGUUGUAAGAGAAGAACUGUGAGAAGAGUGGAAAGUUUCUCACUUGACGGUAUCUUACCAGAAAGGGACGGCUAACUACGUGCCAGCAGCCGCGGUAAUACGUAGGUCCCGAGCGUUGUCCGGAUUUAUUGGGCGUAAAGCGAGCGCAGGCGGUUUGAUAAGUCUGAAGUAAAAGGCUGUGGCUUAACCAUAGUACGCUUUGGAAACUGUCAAACUUGAGUGCAGAAGGGGAGAGUGGAAUUCCAUGUGUAGCGGUGAAAUGCGUAGAUAUAUGGAGGAACACCGGUGGCGAAAGCGGCUCUCUGGUCUGUAACUGACGCUGAGGCUCGAAAGCGUGGGGAGCGAACAGGAUUAGAUACCCUGGUAGUCCACGCCGUAAACGAUGAGUGCUAGGUGUUGGGUCCUUUCCGGGACUCAGUGCCGCAGCUAACGCAUUAAGCACUCCGCCUGGGGAGUACGACCGCAAGGUUGAAACUCAAAGGAAUUGACGGGGGCCCGCACAAGCGGUGGAGCAUGUGGUUUAAUUCGAAGCAACGCGAAGAACCUUACCAGGUCUUGACAUCCCGAUGACCGCCCUAGAGAUAGGGUUUCUCUUCGGAGCAUCGGUGACAGGUGGUGCAUGGUUGUCGUCAGCUCGUGUCGUGAGAUGUUGGGUUAAGUCCCGCAACGAGCGCAACCCCUAUUGUUAGUUGCCAUCAUUCAGUUGGGCACUCUAGCGAGACUGCCGGUAAUAAACCGGAGGAAGGUGGGGAUGACGUCAAAUCAUCAUGCCCCUUAUGACCUGGGCUACACACGUGCUACAAUGGCUGGUACAACGAGUCGCAAGUCGGUGACGGCAAGCUAAUCUCUUAAAGCCAGUCUCAGUUCGGAUUGUAGGCUGCAACUCGCCUACAUGAAGUCGGAAUCGCUAGUAAUCGCGGAUCAGCACGCCGCGGUGAAUACGUUCCCGGGCCUUGUACACACCGCCCGUCACACCACGAGAGUUUGUAACACCCGAAGUCGGUGAGGUAACCUUUUAGGAGCCAGCCGCCUAAGGUGGGAUAGAUGAUUGGGGUGAAGUCGUAACAAGGUAGCCGUAUCGGAAGGUGCGGCUG